RNAcentral lists this long non-coding RNA (1190 nucleotides) under Brassica napus (rape). RNAcentral's name for it is "long non-coding RNA (BNAP_LNC001292)". The record is from RNAcentral. Lineage: Eukaryota; Viridiplantae; Streptophyta; Magnoliopsida; Brassicales; Brassicaceae.
UUGUUUAAAAAUAUAUUUUGUAAUUUUCUUAAUAUCUAACUAUCAUUACAUGUUUUGAAUCUGUAAAAACCGUACUAUGAUUUAUAUUGUAUAGUUUAAUAUUAUAUAAUAUGAUUUAAUAUUGCAUAAUAUUGCAUACAUUUUUAUAUUUUGAUAUUUGCGUUUAGGGUUUAGUGAUUAUAGUUUAGGGUUUACUAAUUAGAAGGUGAGGGGUUAUGGUUGGAGUCAUUAUUAACUUCUUUCAUGCAAUCAUAGAUAUUUCAUAAUUUCACCAGUAUGUACUAUUCUAUUUAUUUUGUUCCAUUCUAUUUGGGUUUAGGGUUUAUAUUUGGAUUUAUGGUUUAUAUUUGGGUUUAGGUUCGCUGAUUAGAGUUUAGGGUUUAGUAUUUUAGGGGAUGGGGUAGGGUUGGGAUAAAGUUUAGGGUUCACUGAUUAGAGUUGAGGAUUUAGUAUUGGAACUACAUUUUCUCUAUUUCUAUUCUAUAUGACUCAUGUAGAAUGGUAAUGUAUUUUACUGGCAUUUUAAAAUUUGAGUUUAGUUUAUGGAAAAUUGGGGUUAAACACUGGUUAAGGUUUAGAUUUUGAUAUUUGGGUUAACGUUUAGUGAUUAGAGUAUAGGGUUUAGGGUUUAUUAUUUAGAAGGUGAGGAGGUAUGGUUGGGAUCAAUAUUAACCUCUUCCAUAAAAUCAUAGACAUUUCAUAUUUUCACCAAUAUGUACUAUGUUAUUUAUUUUGUUUCAUUCUAUUUGGGUUUAGGGUUUAUGUUUUAGUUUAGGGUUUAUAUUUACGUAAGGGUUUAGUAAUUCGGGUUUAGGGUUUAGCAUUUAGAAGGUGACGGGGUAUGUUUGAGGUUAACAUUAAUUUCUUCAAUGCAAUUAUAGACAUUUCAUAAUUUCUUCAAUAUGUAUUAUGUUAUUUAGUUUUUUCUAUUUUAUUUGGAUUUUGGUUUAAAAUUUAGAUUUAUUAUUUAUAUUUGGGUUUAGGAUUUAUUGAUUAGAGUUUAUGAUUUAGUAUUUAGGGGUUAAGGUGUGAUUAGAAUAAGGUUUAGUAUCUAGGGUUUGGGGUUGGGAUAUGUUUAGUAUUACAGAUUGUAGAUUAUGUUAUAUAAUCUAUACUAUUUCGGUUAUAUGGAAUAGAGCAUUCGGUGUAUGUGUAUGUGACUAAUAAAAGUGUAACGUGGAUGAUUCCUU